AAAACUUUCAACAACGGAUCUCUUGGCUCUGGCAUCGAUGAAGAACGCAGCGAAAUGCGAUAAGUAAUGUGAAUUGCAGAAUUCAGUGAAUCAUCGAAUCUUUGAACGCACAUUGCGCCCGCCAGUAUUCUGGCGGGCAUGCCUGUUCGAGCGUCAUUACAACCCUCAGGCCCCCGGGCCUGGCGUUGGGGAUCGGCGGAAGCCCCCUGCGGGCACAACGCCGUCCCCCAAAUACAGUGGCGGUCCCGCCGCAGCUUCCAUUGCGUAGUAGCUAACACCUCGCAACUGGAGAGCGGCGCGGCCACGCCGUAAAACACCCAACUUCUGAAUGUUGACCUCGAAUCAGGUAGGAAUACCCGCUGAACUUAAGCAUAUCAAUAAGCGGAGGAAAAGAAACCAACAGGGAUUGCCCCAGUAACGGCGAGUGAAGCGGCAACAGCUCAAAUUUGAAAUCUGGCUCUCGGGCCCGAGUUGUAAUUUGUAGAGGAUGCUUUUGGUGAGGUGCCUUCCGAGCUCCCUGGAACGGGACGCCAUAGAGGGUGAGAGCCCCGUCUGGUUGGACACCGAUCCUCUGUAAAGCUCCUUCGACGAGUCGAGUAGUUUGGGAAUGCUGCUCUAAAUGGGAGGUAUAUGUCUUCUAAAGCUAAAUACCGGCCAGAGACCGAUAGCGCACAAGUAGAGUGAUCGAAAGAUGAAAAGAACUUUGAAAAGAGAGUUAAAAAGUACGUGAAAUUGUUGAAAGGGAAGCGCUUGUGACCAGACUUGGGCUUGGUUGAUCAUCCGGGGUUCUCCCCGGUGCACUCUUCCGGCUCAGGCCAGCAUCAGUUCGCCCUGGGGGAUAAAGGCUUCGGGAAUGUGGCUCUCUCCGGGGAGUGUUAUAGCCCGCUGCGUAAUACCCUGUGGCGGACUGAGGUUCGCGCAUUCGCAAGGAUGCUGGCGUAAUGGUCAUCAGUGACCCGUCUUGAAACACGGACC
RNAcentral lists this ribosomal RNA (975 nucleotides) under uncultured Hypocreales. RNAcentral describes it as "eukaryotic LSU rRNA". The stretch from base 333 to 975 matches the Rfam family "Eukaryotic large subunit ribosomal RNA", at positions 1 to 667 of the family's 3401-position model. The record is from RNAcentral. Lineage: Eukaryota; Fungi; Ascomycota; Sordariomycetes; Hypocreales.